GACGAACGCUGGCGGCGUGCUUAACACAUGCCAGUCGAACGGAAAGGCCCUGCUUUUGUGGGGUGCUCGAGUGGCGAACGGGUGAGUAACACGUGAGUAACCUGCCCUUGACUUUGGGAUAACUUCAGGAAACUGGGGCUAAUACCGGAUAGGAGCUCCUGCUGCAUGGUGGGGGUUGGAAAGUUUCGGCGGUUGGGGAUGGACUGGCGGCUUAUCAGCUUGUUGGUGGGGUAGUGGCUUACCAAGGCGUUGACGGGUAGCCGGCCUGAGAGGGUGACCGGCGACAUUGGGACUGAGGGACGGCCCAGACUGCUACGGGUGGCAACAGUGGGGAAGAUUGCACAAUGGGCGGAAGCUUGAUGCAGCAACGCCGCGGGCGGGAUGACGGCCUUCGGGUUGAAAACCGGUUUCGCUCAUGACGAAGCUUUGUGUGACGGUAGUGGGUAAAGAAGCACCGGCUAACUACGUG
RNAcentral lists this ribosomal RNA (469 nucleotides) under uncultured bacterium. RNAcentral describes it as "partial 16S ribosomal RNA". It matches the Rfam family "Bacterial small subunit ribosomal RNA", at positions 28 to 507 of the family's 1533-position model. The record is from RNAcentral.